Molecule: non-coding RNA, 366 nt
Organism: Monodelphis domestica (gray short-tailed opossum)
Lineage: Eukaryota; Metazoa; Chordata; Mammalia; Didelphimorphia; Didelphidae
Source: the annotation of a RefSeq genome assembly
AUGGGGUCUCAGGCUCAGCUGUUCUGCCUCCUGCUUCUCUGGGUCCCAGGUUCCAGAGGGGCCAUUGGGGUGACCCAGUCUCCAUCCUCCCUGGCUGUGUCCUCAGGAGAGAGGGUCACCCUGUCCUGUAGGGCCAGUCAGAGCAUUAACAACCAUAUAUUCUGGUACCAACAUCCCCCAGGCCAGCCUCCCAGGCUCCUCAUUCACUGGGCUUCCACCCUGAACUCUGGGGUCCCUGCCAGGGUCAGUGGCAGUGGCUCUGGGACAGGUUUCUCUCUCACCAUCAGCAGUGUGGAACCUGAGGGCAUUGCAGACUGUUACUGCCUGCAGGUGGACAGGUGGCCUCUCCCAGUGCUCCAGCUCUGA